GUGUGAUUAUGUUUACAUUAUUUGAAUUCAGUUAUUGUUUCCUAUGUUAUUGUAAUUGAAAUUAUAACAGGUGGGUUAUCGAUAGAUCGAUCAAUGCACACUAUUGUAGGAAGUACUAAAAAACAUCUAUAACUUGCACAGACUAGAUGCAAGAAAUAAAAAUUAAUUUGUAUAUAUAUUUUAUUUUUGAAUAAUUACUAUAAAAUACUUACAUUGUCAUCAAUCAUA
Molecule: long non-coding RNA, 228 nt
Filed under: Elaeis guineensis (African oil palm)
Lineage: Eukaryota; Viridiplantae; Streptophyta; Magnoliopsida; Arecales; Arecaceae
Description: long non-coding RNA (EGUI_LNC031281)
Source: RNAcentral